GCCAGGGGAGCUUGGGUGGUACAAGCACCCGACUUGUAAUCGGGAGUUCGUGGGUUCAAAUCCCACCCCUGGCU
Molecule: non-coding RNA, 74 nt
Organism: halophilic archaeon J07HX5
Lineage: Archaea; Methanobacteriati; Methanobacteriota; Halobacteria; Halobacteriales
Source: Rfam